Molecule: unclassified non-coding RNA, 253 nt
Filed under: uncultured Anaerolineae bacterium
Lineage: Bacteria; Bacillati; Chloroflexota; Anaerolineae
Description: contains 16S-23S intergenic spacer region
Rfam family: Bacterial small subunit ribosomal RNA
Source: RNAcentral
AACGUAGGAGGCAAGCGUUAUCCGGAGUUACUGGGCAUAAAGGGCGUGCAGGCGGUUGACUAAGUUCGUCGUGAAAUCGCCCGGCUUAACCGGGCGGGGUCGAUGAAUACUGGUGAACUAGAGGACGGUAGAGGCGUGUGGAGUUCCGGGUGUAGUGGUGAAAUGCGUAGAUAUCCGGAGGAACACCAGUGGCGAAAGCGACACGCUGGGCCGUACCUGACGCUAAGACGCGACAGCAUGGGGAGCGAACGGG